AUAGGUGUUUAUAUCACCCUGCAGCCAAAGACUUGCACACUUGACUUGGUUGCACACUGAAGCUAAGCAGGGUUGAGCCUGGUCAGUACCUGGAUGGGAGACCUACUGGGAAAACUAGGUUGCUGUU
Molecule: ribosomal RNA, 127 nt
Filed under: Sinocyclocheilus anshuiensis
Lineage: Eukaryota; Metazoa; Chordata; Actinopteri; Cypriniformes; Cyprinidae
Source: RNAcentral